This 494-nucleotide ribosomal RNA is filed under the name uncultured Pseudomonas sp. RNAcentral's name for it is "bacterial SSU rRNA". It matches the Rfam family "Bacterial small subunit ribosomal RNA", at positions 40 to 526 of the family's 1533-position model. Lineage: Bacteria; Pseudomonadati; Pseudomonadota; Gammaproteobacteria; Pseudomonadales; Pseudomonadaceae. The record is from RNAcentral.
CGGCAGGCCUAACACAUGCAAGUCGAGCGGAUGAAGGGAGCUCNGCUNCCUGGAUUNAGCGGCGGACGGGUGAGUAAUGCCUAGGAANCUGCCUGGUAGUGGGGGAUAACGUCCGGAAACGGGCGCUAAUACCGCAUACGUCCUGAGGGANAAAGUGGGGGAUCUUCGGACCUCACGCUAUCAGAUGAGCCUAGGUCGGAUUAGCUAGUUGGUGGGGUAAAGGCCUACCAAGGCGACGAUCCGUAACUGGUCUGAGAGGAUGAUCAGUCACACUGGAACUGAGACACGGUCCAGACUCCUACGGGAGGCAGCAGUGGGGAAUAUUGGACAAUGGGCGAAAGCCUGAUCCAGCCAUGCCGCGUGUGUGAAGAAGGUCUUCGGAUUGUAAAGCACUUUAAGUUGGGGAGGAAGGGCAGUAAGUUAAUACCUUGCUGCUUUGGCGUUACCAACAGAAUAAGCACCGGCUAACUUCGUGCCAGCAGCCGCGGUAAUAC